This is a ribosomal RNA of 734 nucleotides. The stretch from base 311 to 466 matches the Rfam family "5.8S ribosomal RNA".
AUUUAGAGGAAGGAGAAGUCGUAACAAGGUUUCCGUAGGUGAACCUGCGGAAGGAUCAUUGACGUAACCUGCCAAGCAGAUCGACCAGCGAACUAGUAUGUUAGCAGUCACUGGGGGCACUUUGUGGUGGGCUUGACUGCCCCCACCCUCUGCCCCCUCGCCGGGUGCACCGUCAAACUGCGUUCCUCGGCUAAAAAAAUAAACUCCGACGCGAAUCGCGUCAAGGAACUCAAACAGGAGAAAAAAAGCGCCCCCCUCGUUCGCGAGUGGAGCUACGUGGGGUAGCAGGCGCAUCUUUCAUGAGCAUAACGACUCUCGGCAACGGAUAUCUCGGCUCUCGCAUCGAUGAAGAACGUAGCGAAAUGCGAUACUUGGUGUGAAUUGCAGAAUCCCGUGAACCAUCGAGUCUUUGAACGCAAGUUGCGCCUGAAGCCAUUAGGCUGAGGGCACGUCUGCCUGGGCGUCUCACAUCGCGUCGCCCCUAGCCCUGUGCCCCAAAGGGCUCUUGGGUUGAUGGGGGCGGAUUUUGGCCCCCCGUGUGCCCUAGUGCACGGUCGGCCUAAAGAUGAGUCCCUGGCGACGAACGUCACGAUGAGUGGUGGAUGUGAUAACGUUGCGUCAUGUCGUGCACGUCUCGUCCCAACGAGUUGCUUUUGUUUUUGACCUCAAGAAGCACCGUUUUGACGGAGCCUCGAUCGCGACCCCAGGUCAGGCGGGAUCACCCGCUGAGUUUA